CACAUACCAAUGACAAAACCCAAUGGACCAUUAAUAACACUACAAAAAAACGGGGGAAUUCCGGCGGUUUUAUUAUGGCGGUUGUCAAUAACCGCCGCUGUAAACUGUACAUUGUGGCAGUUUUUUAAGACGCCGCUCUAUACCGUAUAUUACGGCGGUUUUACCCGCCCUUGUUAUGUUUGACAAUUAUUAUGGUGUAUUGUGGCAGUAUCAGCCGCCGCUACUCUCCAAUUUUAUUUUCAGCUUUCCCUCUCCUUCUUUUUAGUGAAAUUAUCCCUCUCUUUUCUUCCCUCUUAUUUUUUCUUUUUGUCUAGAUCCAUUCUCUAUAUCGAUAAAAAAAAACUCCUCUCUCUCUCUCGAAAACGAAACAAACAAACCCUUACUUAAGCUUAACACUUCUCUCUCGUCAUCAGUUCUGUCUCCCACCGUACGCCGAAAUCUUUUGUGGUUGUCUCCCAUCUUCGAGAGGCAAGUUCUUUCCCGCCGUCUCCAAUGUUUGUAGAAACUAAAAGGUUAAUCGGUUGCUGAAAAAGGCAGGUUUGUCCUAUAAUUUAAGUCUUUCAUAGCUUCAAUUUCUCUUUUGCGUUAUUGCUCAAAUCCCAUAAAAACCCUAAUUUUUUUUCCCUUCUCAUCCACAAUUUUGCUUCGGUUGGGUAUUAAUUUUGCGUGUGUCAAGGAUUCAGUGUUGUUAUAGUCUAAUUUUUUGUGUGUCAAGGAUUCAAUGUUCUAUGCAUAAUAUGCAAUACUGUCAAUUCUUAAUUUAUUUUUAAUCUAUUUUUGUUCAGUGAAAAAACGAAGACAACAAAACAGAGAGAACCAUUUACCGUCAUGCCUUUAUGUGUGAUAUAUUUGGCUUUUAACUGGUUUGUUAUGAUUCCAGGAGUAAAAUUUGUAAAUUUUUGAGAAUGGAUUUAUAUAUAUACAUUUAGAGCAUUCAUACUUUCUUUAACAUUGAAAAUUUGUUCAUGCCAGUUCUAAUUUAUAUUGGCCUCUUAAUUUUUGAGGGGCUUAUUAUAUCUAUCUGGUGAAAAGUGAAAAGUUCAUGAUGAUAUGCAUUAACAGCAUAUUCGUUUUAGAAGAUGGAUUCUGCAACUUUGCAGCAUCAACAACACCUGAAAUAUACUCUGGUGAUUGUGAAUAGCGCAACUCUCGCAUUUUUGGCUUCAGGGAGUAUGGAUACGAACAUACUUCAACAUCACAUGAGGGUUUCAAGUCACUUUAUUGGCAAGCUUGUUAGCCAUAAGUUUGAGGUAUGUGGAUAGGAAUGGUCUUGUGAUGACAAAUAACUUGCUUAUGGUAGUAAUGAUAAUCAGGUAUGCCAACUCACACAAAAUUACUUUUUGUUUAGUACAUUCAUUUAUGAGUUUUAAUUCACCUCUUGUUCAAUGUCAUGUUUUGUUAUUCAGAAAUGAUAAUUAUUACGAAUGUUGAAAGGACGAAACACACAAAGGGCUAAUUGAAAGGCUCAUUUCAACGCACAACUCAACUUUGAUUUCUGGCAAAACCACAAAUGACAGAUUUUUUCCUUUUUUAAAGUAAAACAUGUGUAAUUAUUGUGCUAAGUGCUUCGUAACAUUUAGCACAUCUCUUUUUUCUUAUAUGAGCAGCUUUUGGUAUGGAAUCAUAACUCUCCAACCAACUUUGAGACUAACAUAGCACACUGCUGCUGUGAAGGCUAGUGCUUGGUCCCCUCACUAUAGCAGCCUUGUGUCCGGAGGUGGAACUGCUGAUAGGUGUAUUCGUUUCUGGAACACUACAAACAUCCACCCUCUUGUGUCUUGUGAGCUACAAAUGCUACAUUGGGAGGUGAAGAUUUCAUGAUAUUUUUUGCUUUUCCUUUUAGGUUGGUUUUUUUUUUUUUUUGCAACUAGAGUCAAAACUUUGGAGAUUUGGCCCCUGCUUAUGGUCUUGCUGGAUUUUAAAGUAUUAAACUGCUAUAAAUGGUUCUCCAUUCACUUAUUGGAAGACAAACGAGUCAUAUGAAAUACUGAACAUUAACAACUAAAGUUUAUUUGCUUCACAUUAGGUGUCACUUUAACAAGGAUUGCUUGGUUGUUCAAUGCUUGUGGCCAUAUGUAAAAGUGAAAACGUGGUGUCCAACAAGAUGUUAUUAACUUGCUUUGACUGGUUUUCAUGCUCAUAGAUUUGCAAUUGUCUCUUUAGCUAGCAGGGAACUAUUCUUUUGCGGAAUACAACUUAUUGGUAGAGGGGGAAGCAAGUAUGAAGAGCAACACAAGCAGAGCUGUUUGCCACGACCUUGUGGAGCAUAUGGAAAAGGAGAAAUCAUACCUUGUGGAGGCAAGUGACAGAAAGUAACAGGAAUGUGUUUGAAAGAGCUACACACUUGCUUGAAGGGUGGAGACAUGCUAAUAUAAAGCAGCUGCCGAGAACAACUCAUGUGGAAGAGGCAGCUGCUGUCACGAGACAGCAUAGCAGUGUAGCUUCGGAUAGCAGCAACAUGAUACAUAAAUGGCAGAAACCGCGGCGUGGAAGGCUCAAGUGCAAUGUCGACGCGUCCUUCUCAAUGACCGAGAACAAGUUGGAUAUAGGUAUGUGUAUCCGUAACGAAGAGGGACGAUUUAUACGCGCAAAAACAAUGUGGUUUUUCCCGGUUUGCUCGGUAGAUGUUGGGGAAGCUUUGGGACUGUUUUAUGCUAUUCAAUGGGUUCAUGAACUAAGACUUCAAAAUGUUGAUUUUGAGGUUGAUUCGAAACGUGUAGCAGAUUAUUUUAACCGAAGCAACAGAGAUAACACUGAGUUUGGAAACAUUUUUCUUUUAAAACCACAAUCCCACAAGUCAUAAAAAAGGGGAUAGUAGUUAACUUCAUUCUAUUAAGUAUUUUUACUUUACAUUUCAAAAACAAACUGAUAUGUGUAUGUAUGUGUUUGUCAUAGGUUUUC
RNA transcript from Medicago truncatula (barrel medic), 2901 nucleotides. RefSeq lists it as uncharacterized. The transcript is spliced from 3 exons. Lineage: Eukaryota; Viridiplantae; Streptophyta; Magnoliopsida; Fabales; Fabaceae. The record is from RefSeq and is a predicted model, not a curated record.